Molecule: ribosomal RNA, 253 nt
Filed under: uncultured bacterium
Lineage: Bacteria
Description: partial 16S ribosomal RNA
Rfam family: Bacterial small subunit ribosomal RNA
Source: RNAcentral
GACGAACCGAGCGAACGUUGUUCGGAAUCACUGGGCUUAAAGGGCGCGUAGGCGGGCCGUCUAGUCCGUGGUGAAAUCCUCCGGCUCAACCGGAGAAGUGCCUCGGAUACUGGCGGCCUCGAGGGGGGUAGGGGCGUGCGGAACUUCCGGUGGGGCGGUGAAAUGCGUAGAUAUCGGAAGGAACACCGGUGGCGAAAGCGGCGCGCUGGACCCCAUCUGACGCUGAGGCGCGAAAGCCAGGGGAGCAAACGGG